Molecule: ribosomal RNA, 460 nt
Filed under: uncultured bacterium
Lineage: Bacteria
Description: partial 16S ribosomal RNA
Rfam family: Bacterial small subunit ribosomal RNA
Source: RNAcentral
CCUACGGGAGGCAGCAGUGAGGAAUAUUGGUCAAUGGACGCAAGUCUGAACCAGCCAUGCCGCGUGCAGGAUGACGGCUCUAUGAGUUGUCAACCGCUUUUGUACGAGGGUAAUAUCAGAUACGCGUAUCUGCUUGAAAGUAUCGUACGAAUCAGGAUCGGCUAACUCCGUGCCAGCAGCCGCGGUAAUACGGAGGAUCCAAGCGUUAUCCGGAUUUAUUGGGUUUAAAGGGUGCGUAGGCGGUUUUAUAAGUUAGGGGUGAAAAUUCGGGGCUCAACACCGGACGUGCAUCUAAUACUGGAUGACUAGAGAAUGGGUGAGGUAGGCGGAAUGUAUGGUGUAGCGGUGAAAUGCGUAGAGAUCAUACAGAACACCGAGUGCGAAGGCAGCUUACCAAACUAUAACUGACGUUGAGGCACGAAAGCGUGGGGAGCGAACAGGAUUAGAUACCCGAGUAGUC